This 24-nucleotide non-coding RNA is filed under the name Arabidopsis thaliana (thale cress). Lineage: Eukaryota; Viridiplantae; Streptophyta; Magnoliopsida; Brassicales; Brassicaceae. The record is from RNAcentral.
ACAGCCCGUUUGGUCGCGGGCCAG